AGAGUUUGAUCAUGGCUCAGAAUGAACGUUGGCGGCGUGGAUUAGGCAUGCAAGUCGAGCGAGAAGCCUCCUUCGGGAGGUGGACAGCGGCGAAAGGGAGAGUAACGCGUGGAUUAUCUGCCCCUGGAUCCGGGAUAGCUGCGGGAAACUGCAGGUAAUACCGGAUAAUGUCUCCGGACCAAAGGUGUGAUUCCGUCCAGGGAUGAGUCCGCGUCCUAUUAGCUAGUUGGCAGGGUAACGGCCUACCAAGGCGAUGAUGGGUACUGGGUGUGAGAGCACGACCCAGCUCACUGGGACUGAGACACUGCCCAGACACCUACGGGUGGCUGCAGUCGAGGAUCUUCGGCAAUGGGCGCAAGCCUGACCGAGCGACGCCGCGUGCGGGAUGAAGGCCUUCGGGUUGUAAACCGCUGUCAGAGGGGAUGAAAUAUCGGAGGGUUCUCCCUCCGAUUUGACAGAUCCUCAGAGGAAGUACGGGCUAAGUUCGUGCCAGCAGCCGCGGUAAGACGAACCGUACAAACGUUAUUCGGAAUCACUGGGCUUAAAGGGUGCGUAGGCGGUGCGGAAAGUUGGGUGUGAAAUCCCUCGGCUCAACCGAGGAAUUGCGCCCAAAACUACCGUGCUUGAGGGAGACAGAGGUGAGUGGAACUUAGGGUGGAGCGGUGAAAUGCGUUGAUAUCCUAAGGAACACCAGUGGCGA
This 700-nucleotide ribosomal RNA is filed under the name uncultured bacterium. Its description in RNAcentral is "bacterial SSU rRNA". It matches the Rfam family "Bacterial small subunit ribosomal RNA", at positions 8 to 718 of the family's 1533-position model. The record is from RNAcentral.